UUGACAGUCCUGGAGACCAAAACCCUCUCCUUAUCCACAGACAGGGUGCUGUUCACCAAGAGCAGAAGCAAUACAAGCUUCCCCACACUACUCCAGCAAUAUGCCUCAACCCUGACCUGCAAGGACUACUUCUAGACUGAGAACAGUAGUUCAGUUUCCUUGCAUGCUUGGCCCUCAGUCUCU
Unclassified non-coding RNA from Chelonoidis abingdonii (Abingdon island giant tortoise), 183 nucleotides. The record is from Ensembl. NCBI's taxonomy places the organism in Eukaryota, Metazoa, Chordata, Testudines, Testudinidae.